UCCGGUUUGGCACCGGCAGUCUUCCUAGAGUCCCCGCCGUUACGCGCUGGCAACAUUGGACAGGGGUUGCGCUCGUUGCGCCACUUAAGGCAACACCUCACGGCACGAGCUGACGACAGCCAUGCAGCACCUGUGCAGGCUCCCGAAGGAGCGCCGUGUUUCCACGGCUUCACCCUGCAUGCCAAGUCCUGGUAAGGUUCCUCGCGUUGCGUCGAAUUAAGCCACAUGCUCCGCCGCUUGUGCGGGUCCCCGUCAAUUCCUUUGAGUUUUAAUCUUGCGACCGUACUCCCCAGGCGGGGUGCUUAAUGCGUUUGCUGCGCCACCGAAGAGCAUGCUCCCCGACGGCUAGCACCCAUAGUUUACGGCGUGGACUAC
This 375-nucleotide unclassified non-coding RNA is filed under the name uncultured bacterium. RNAcentral's name for it is "contains 16S-23S intergenic spacer region". The record is from RNAcentral.